Molecule: ribosomal RNA, 253 nt
Filed under: uncultured bacterium
Lineage: Bacteria
Description: partial 16S ribosomal RNA
Rfam family: Bacterial small subunit ribosomal RNA
Source: RNAcentral
UACGGAGGGUGCAAGCGUUGUCCGGAUUUAUUGGGUUUAAAGGGUGCGUAGGCGGCUUUUUAAGUCAGUGGUGAAAGACAACAGCUUAACUGUUGCAGUGCCAUUGAUACUGAAGAGCUUGAGUACAGAUGAGGUAGGCGGAAUUUAUGGUGUAGCGGUGAAAUGCAUAGAUACCAUAAAGAACACCUAUUGCGAAGGCAGCUUACUAAGCUGUAACUGACGCUGAGGCACGAAAGCGUGGGGAUCAAACAGG